Non-coding RNA from Parasteatoda tepidariorum (common house spider), 271 nucleotides. The record is from RefSeq and is a predicted model, not a curated record. NCBI's taxonomy places the organism in Eukaryota, Metazoa, Arthropoda, Arachnida, Araneae, Theridiidae.
GAUUUUAUCAAUUUGAUAAUCUAAUCAAAGAUGUCAUCUACUCCUGACAAUUUCAAGGAAGCCGCUGUUAGUUUUGAUUCCUGAAAAUUUACAACCAUUUAUAUCACUACCCUCAACUAUCUGAUGUUUAAUCGAGUUGAUAUUGAUGAUUCUUUGAAAUUUCUAUAUGAGCAGUUGGAUAGCAAGGUCUCUUGAUUACGUAGAGAAAGCGAUGAGCUGUUUUUGAAAGAGAAAGUGCCACCUCUUUCACUAGAACUUGUGAACAAUUUAU